This 650-nucleotide ribosomal RNA is filed under the name uncultured marine bacterium. Its description in RNAcentral is "bacterial SSU rRNA". It matches the Rfam family "Bacterial small subunit ribosomal RNA", at positions 86 to 715 of the family's 1533-position model. The record is from RNAcentral.
GCGAGUAGAGUGGCAAACGGGUGAGUAACGCGUGGGUGACCUGCCUUCGAGCGGGGGAUAACCUUCCGAAAGGGGGGCUAAUACCGCAUAAUAUCCCGCCCUUGGAUGGGUGGUGAUCAAAGUCGGGGAUCUUCGGACCUGGCGCUUGAAGAGGGACCCGCGUCCGAUUAGCUUGUUGGUGGGGUAGUGGCCUACCAAGGCAUCUAUCGGUAGCCGGCCUGAGAGGGCGGACGGCCACACUGGGACUGAGACACGGCCCAGACUCCUACGGGAGGCAGCAGUAGGGAAUUGUUCGCAAUGGGCGCAAGCCUGACGACGCAACGCCGCGUGGAGGACGAAGAUCUUCGGGUUGUAAACUCCUGUCAAGUGGGAAGAACAGCGUGGUGGUUAAUAGCCAUUGCGCCUGACGGUACCACUGAAGGAAGCCCCGGCUAACUCCGUGCCAGCAGCCGCGGUAAUACGGGGGGGGCAAGCGUUGUUCGGAAUUACUGGGCGUAAAGGGCUCGUAGGCGGCCAUCCAAGUCGGACGUGAAAUCCCCAGGCUCAACCUGGGAACUGCGUUCGAUACUGGUUGGCUUGAAUCCGGGAGAGGGAUGCGGAAUUCCAGGUGUAGCGGUGAAAUGCGUAGAUAUCUGGAGGAACACCGGUGG